Molecule: ribosomal RNA, 434 nt
Filed under: uncultured bacterium
Lineage: Bacteria
Description: partial 16S ribosomal RNA
Rfam family: Bacterial small subunit ribosomal RNA
Source: RNAcentral
AGCGAACGCUGGCGGCAGGCCUAACACAUGCAAGUCGAACGAACCUUUCGGGGUUAGUGGCGGACGGGUGAGUAACACGUGGGAACGUGCCUUUAGGUUCGGAAUAACUCAGGGAAACUUGUGCUAAUACCGAAUGUGCCCUUCGGGGGAAAGAUUAAUCGCCUUUAGAGCGGCCCGCGUCUGAUUAGCUAGUUGGUUGAGGUAAUGGCUCACCAAGGCGACGAUCAGUAGCUGGUCUGAGAGGAUGAUCAGCCACACUGGGACUGAGACACGGCCCAAACUCCUACGGGAGGCAGCAGUGGGGAAUCUUGCGCAAUGGGCGAAAGCCUGACGCAGCCAUGCCGCGUGAAUGAUGAAGGUCUUAGGAUUGUAAAAUUCUUUCACCGGGGACGAUAAUGACGGUACCCGGAGAAGAAGCCCCGGCUAACUUCGUG